Oncorhynchus tshawytscha (Chinook salmon) is the source of this 705-nucleotide long non-coding RNA. The record is from Ensembl. NCBI's taxonomy places the organism in Eukaryota, Metazoa, Chordata, Actinopteri, Salmoniformes, Salmonidae.
UGCGGUGAUGUUAUGGGAUUGUGGUGUGUCUUCACAGUUCCCACAAUAAUUGUGAUUUAUGCAAUGUGUUGUUUUGUGGCAGUCACAUCCUCUCUGACCAAGGCUGAGAAGAAAAAGGCGACGGGCAGAAGAUCUCGGCAGGUGGACAAUAGUCCGGAGGGGGUGUGGUCUGCCUGGGAGGAGUGGUCAGGAUGUUCUCAGAGUUGUGGAGUGGGCGUGUCACAGAGAACCAGAAAGUGUGAAGCCCCUCCCCGUCCCCUAACUCCACCCCUCUCCCACUCUCCUCCAAUCUGGGGGGGUUCAUCGUUCCUCCCAGGGAGGGCAGGGGGUCCCAACCAUGGCUCUGUCAUCUCUGCCAUCCACCCCUUCUACCCCCCUCGUUACUCUAGCAACCAGCCAUCCCAAUACGGGGGAGGAGGUGGGGGAGGGACAGAGAGACAGCCAGACCCCUUCUAUCCCCCCUCACUCCCAUCAUCCAAUCAGAACCCAGGACUGUCUCUCUAUCGGGACACUCCUAUAGGAGGAGGGGCAGGAGCUGUGCCAGCGCAGUCCUCCAAUCCCACGUCUCCCCUCUAUCGCCCGGAAUUCUCAUCACCCAAUCAGGAGCCAGGUUCUGUUUAUCGCUCCCCCUCAUUUCCUGCCCCCCCAUCCAGCUACAGCCAACCAGCACAGGCCGCCCGCCGGCCAACCAAUCCUGGAACAGGG